RNA transcript from Harpia harpyja (harpy eagle), 3216 nucleotides. It is a transcript of the gene named activating signal cointegrator 1 complex subunit 2, with no coding region annotated. NCBI's taxonomy places the organism in Eukaryota, Metazoa, Chordata, Aves, Accipitriformes, Accipitridae. The transcript is spliced from 20 exons. The record is from RefSeq and is a predicted model, not a curated record.
GGGAAGGACAGCUGCCUCGCAGACGGAGGCUUUCCGCCCCGCACGGGACGGCGUUAAGGACUGUUAGCUGUAACGACGGCCGCUGGAAGGAACAAGUCAUCACUAUGCCAGCAUUGCCUCUGGAUAAACUCCAGCUGACAGAAAGAGAUCCCAAGACAGGGAAGCUGAGAACUUUACCGGCACUGCACCCAGAAAUAAAAGCAGAUCGGUCUUUUGUGCUAUACAGACCGCCACCUGUUGUCAGAGACCCUGCUUUAGUGGAAGAAUUCUUGGAGCGAGCAAAAUUCAUUGCAGAUGACCUGAACUGGCUUCUGGCUUUGCCUCAUGACAAAUUUUGGUGCCAGGUAAUAUUUGAUGAGACGCUUCAGAAAUGUCUGGAUUCCUACCUGCGCUAUGCCCCUCGCAAGUUUGAUGCUUUGUUGGAUUGCCAUCCAGAGGUGAACGACAUGCAGAAAUGUCUUCAUCGGAGUGUCUUCCUGACUUUCCUCAGAAUGUCCACUCACAAGGAGUCCAAGGAUCAUUUUAUCACUCCCUCUGUCUUUGGAGAAAUUAUUUACAAUAAUUUCCUGUUCGACAUCCCUAAGAUUCUGGAUCUCUGUGUGCUUUUUGGGAAAGGAAAUGGUCUCCUGCUCCAGAAGAUGAUUGAAAAUAUCUUCACUCAGCAACCAAGUUACUUCAGUGAUCUAGACGAAACUCUGCCCACUGUCCUCCAGGUGUUCAACAAUAUUUUGCAUAAGUGUGGUUUGCAGUGUGAGGGAGCCUCUGCUGAGCCUCAGAAGUUGGAAGAAAAAGUAAAUGUGACUCCAGGGAACAUGCCCCUCCAGGAGCUGAAGGACAUUGUCCUGUACUUAUGUGACACUUGCACGACACUCUGGGCGUUUCUUGAUGUCUUCCCAUUGGCUUGCCAGACCUUCCAAAAACAUGAGUUUUGUUACAGAUUAGCUUCGUUUUAUGAAUUGGCAAUUCCUGAGCUGGAAUCUGCAAUUAAGAAGAGGCAUUAUGAGGAUAACAGUGUUUUCGCUGAUUUGUGGAGGAGAAUUUCACAUUCCAGAAAGAGGAUGAUAGAAGCUUUUCACAUCCUAAUAAACCAAGUCUGUCUGCAACCCAUCUUAGAAAGCAGCCGUGAGAAUAUUCAGCCUUUUAUUGAGCAAUUCCUACAGAUCUUCACUUCAGUGCUUCAGGAAAGGAGAUUUCUCCGUGACUAUGAUGAGCUGUUUCCUGUUGAGGAUGAUGUCAGUCUGCUUCAGCAAGCAUCCUCCACGCUAGAUGAGACCAGGACAGCCUAUAUCCUCCAAGCAGUGGAAAGUGCAUGGGAAGGGGUAGACAGGAGAAAAGCACAAGUCAUUAAAGAUCCAACACCGCUAGCAGCAUCUAAUGGAGCAUCAGCGAUAGUGGAGAGCACUGCCGAGGACAUUGAAGAGCUCGGGGCUGCAUAUGCAUCAGAGGAUGAGUGUGCCGGUGCAGCUGCUGCGCCCAUUGCCAAGGUGUCAGGAGUGGAGCUGGACUCUCUGAUCUCUCAAGUGAAAGACUUGCUGCCAGACCUUGGUGAGGGCUUCAUCCUGGCCUGCCUGGAAGAGUACAGUUACAAUGCAGAGCAAGUGAUCAACAACAUUCUAGAAGAUAAGCUGGUACCAUACUUGGAUAAGCUGGACCGAACAAUGCAAAGACAGCUGAAGCCAGACCCUACUCCUCUAGUCACUUCUCGCUAUAAUGUUUUCCAGAAUGAUGAGUUUGAUGUUUUCAGUAGGGAUUCAGUGGAUGUUUCUCGGAUACAAAAAGGCAAGCGGAGGGAGAAGGACACAACCAGGAGUUUGCUGAAUGACAAACGGCUGGUUGCUGAGCAGAAGGAGCGCUACAGCCAGUACAGUGUGAUUGUGGAGGAGAUUCCUGUGCAGCAAGGAGAAGCUCAACUCUACAAGGAGGACUAUGAGGACGAGUACGAUGACACUUAUGAUGGAAACCAAGUGGGGGCAAAUGAUGCUGACUCAGAUGAUGAGCUGAUCAGUAGGAGGCCGUUCACAAUUCCUCAGGUCUUGAGACCUAAAGGACAGGAGGAAGGAUUGGAGGAAGAGGAAGAGGAUGAAGAGGAGGAGGAAGAAGCUGAAAAGGAAAGAACAAAGGACCAUUUUGUGCAGGACCCAGCUGUACUGCGGGAGAGAGCUGAAGCCAGGCGGCUCACUUACCUUGCGAGGAAAGGGCACAAGCAGGACAGCUCUGCUGUUGUUGGGAAUGUGAAGGGCCAUGGGCAGAACCGGGAAACGGUGCAGGAACGAAGGAAGAAGGAAGCAAACAAAAGCACAAGAGCUAACCAUAAUCGACGAGUCAUGGCUGACAGAAAGCGGAAUAAAGGCAUGAUUCCUUCCUGAAAGACCAGGUGUUGGAUCAUCCCCAGUCCUCUGCUUAGGAGGAGACAGUUGUGCUCCGUUCCCUCGGCACCCCCUUCACUCAGGGGACUGGGUGUCGUGGUUCGGUACCUGGCACUUCAGCUCAUGCGGAAUUGCACGCCCUGCGGGAGGCCUGCCCGUUCAUGGGAAGGAACUGCCCUCCAGGCUGACCCUGACUGCUUUUCAGUUUAUAGAGAUGUGUGUAUGACGGUGGGCUGCACCGCAAUGCAUUGGACAGGCUGCACCAGCCAUUUGUUUCCUUUUGUACUAUUUAUAAUUCUGAGAAUUUUAUUUUCAUACCAGCUCCGUACGCCCUCUCCGCAACUCAAGUGGGCUUCCAGGCUACACAACGGGCAGCUCUGAGAGCAAGGCUUCCCUGGAACAGCCCUCGUGGUUUUCUGCUCCACUGAAAUGCCUUGUUCUGAAGUACAAGUUGAAGGUUGAUAAGAAGAUGCUCAGGCUAUUACCAUUGCCAACAAACACAAAGGAGUUCAGGGCACGCGUUGCAUCACCUCGUCCUGUCCAAGAAGCUGUUCUAUGUCCUGUCCGUGUAACGCGCUGUCCAGGCAGUUAUCAUCCCACCACAGCUCUGCUUUGAAACACAAGGACGACUUGACCCAUCUCAUCGAACGCUCACGCCCGGGGCAGCAGACUCCGCUGUCCUGUACAGCUCUGCGCGUUUGCCCCUUCCUCUGCCAAGGGCUAGAGGGCUACAGACCUGCGGAACGCGAAGCAAACUCAAUCCGUUUUAACCUUCCUGCGUCCCACCGCCUCGGAAACCUUCUCCCCAGCGGCUCCGCAGACCGGAGAAGCCCGAGAACACACCGGGCCC